CAUUCACCUACAGAUUUGGUACCUGGAUUUCUGUCCAUGGUGAUUUCUAUCACCUUACUACUGAAGAAGAUACCAUCCCAGUAGACCACUAUGACCCAAGGGACAUUCAACCAUCAUGAUGUGGUCUUCACCUCCAUUCCUGUCCUUCUCUACCCAGAUUGAGCACCAUCCUUUA
Myotis brandtii (Brandt's bat) is the source of this 175-nucleotide non-coding RNA. Lineage: Eukaryota; Metazoa; Chordata; Mammalia; Chiroptera; Vespertilionidae. The record is from Rfam.